CUCUCACCCUACUGCCCUUUUCUUUCACCUCCUGCUCAGUCUGACUGCCCUCCAUUACUAAGCUGCAUUCUUC
Molecule: small RNA, 73 nt
Filed under: Homo sapiens (human)
Lineage: Eukaryota; Metazoa; Chordata; Mammalia; Primates; Hominidae
Description: nc034 non-coding RNA
Source: RNAcentral